Molecule: ribosomal RNA, 461 nt
Filed under: uncultured bacterium
Lineage: Bacteria
Description: bacterial SSU rRNA
Rfam family: Bacterial small subunit ribosomal RNA
Source: RNAcentral
AGAGUUUGAUCCUGGCUCAGAUUGAACGCUGGCGGCAUGCCUUACACAUGCAAGUCGAACGGCAGCACGGGAACAAUCCUGGUGGCGAGUGGCGAACGGGUGANUAAUAUAUCGGAACGUGCCCAGUCGUGGGGGAUAACGUAGAGAAAUUUACGCUAAUACCGCAUACGAUCUAAGGAUGAAAGCGGGGGACCUUCGGGCCUCGCGCGAUUGGAGCGGCUGAUAUCAGAUUAGGUUGUUGGUGAGGUAAAAGCUCACCAAGCCGACGAUCUGUAGCUGGUUUGAGAGAACGACCAGCCACACUGGGACUGAGACACGGCCCAGACUCCUACGGGAGGCAGCAGUGGGGAAUUUUGGACAAUGGGCGAAAGCCUGAUCCAGCAAUGCCGCGUGCAGNAANAAGGCCUUCGGGUUGUAAACUGCUUUUGUACGGAACGAAAAGGUCUGCCCUAAUACGGCGG